Molecule: ribosomal RNA, 253 nt
Filed under: uncultured bacterium
Lineage: Bacteria
Description: partial 16S ribosomal RNA
Rfam family: Bacterial small subunit ribosomal RNA
Source: RNAcentral
UACGAAGGGGGCUAGCGUUGUUCGGAUUUACUGGGCGUAAAGCGCACGUAGGCGGCUCGUUAAGUCGGGGGUGAAAUCCUGGAGCUCAACUCCAGAACUGCCUUCGAUACUGGCGAUCUUGAGUCCGGAAGAGGUGAGUGGAACUCCUAGUGUAGAGGCGGAAUUCGUAGAUAUUAGGAAGAACACCAGUGGCGAAGGCGGCUCACUGGUCCGGUACUGACGCUGAGGUGCGAAAGCGUGGGGAGCAAACAGG